UACGGAGGGUGCAAGCGUUAUCCGGAUUUACUGGGUUUAAAGGGUGCGUAGGUGGGUAAGUAAGUCAGUGGUGAAAUCUUCGAGCUUAACUCGGAAACUGCCAUUGAUACUAUUUAUCUUGAAUACUUUGGAGGUAAGCGGAAUAUGUCAUGUAGCGGUGAAAUGCUUAGAUAUGACAUAGAACACCAAUCGCGAAGGCAGCUUACUACACAGUUAUUGACACUGAGGCACGAAAGCGUGGGGAUCAAACAGG
This 253-nucleotide ribosomal RNA is filed under the name uncultured bacterium. RNAcentral describes it as "partial 16S ribosomal RNA". It matches the Rfam family "Bacterial small subunit ribosomal RNA", at positions 524 to 776 of the family's 1533-position model. The record is from RNAcentral.